CUCAGCUCCAUGUGCUUCCCCUGCCCCUGCCCCUCCCCAAGUGGGCAGCUCAGGACACCAAGCAGCAGCAGCAGCUGUGCUUCGGAUGGCCAGGCCCCAGGGGUCUGCAGCGUACGAGUUCCCGUCUGCGGACUACACGGGGAGGAAGUGGAAAGGCCGGGCACCGAGUCAGAGAGCCCUGAACCAGAGCAGCAUGCCAGAAACUUCCUGCAGCGUGGCCUCACUGGGUGAGACUAGGAUGGAGAA
Phyllostomus hastatus (greater spear-nosed bat) is the source of this 246-nucleotide long non-coding RNA. RefSeq lists it as uncharacterized. The record is from RefSeq and is a predicted model, not a curated record. Lineage: Eukaryota; Metazoa; Chordata; Mammalia; Chiroptera; Phyllostomidae. The transcript has 3 exons.